RNAcentral lists this long non-coding RNA (862 nucleotides) under Malus domestica (apple). RNAcentral's name for it is "long non-coding RNA (MDOM_LNC009348)". The record is from RNAcentral. Lineage: Eukaryota; Viridiplantae; Streptophyta; Magnoliopsida; Rosales; Rosaceae.
CAAGUGUAGGGACACUUGGCAUUGUGGUCCGUUCGGCAUUAUGAGUCAAUUGAGCAGUGAGUUGUGCCAAUUGAGCUUGAAUGGUCGCAAGUGCCAUGUCUCGCUCCAUUUGUACCUAAAAUCAAAGAAAGAAAAAUAAAUCAAAUAUCAAAAGUAAAAUACACAACACCAAUAUAAACAUAAACAAAAACAAAAAUAAAGGGAUUAGCAAAGUUGCUAAUCCCCGGCAACGGCGCCAAAAUUUGAUGCGCAAAAUAACUUGACACACAAAUUAAACCCUCUUUUUGACAAUUGUAGUAUAGAUGUAAGUAGGGUAUCGUUCUAGGCCGGAGAUUAGGAGGGAUUGCUAAUCUAUUCUAAAUUAAUUUAAAAAUAUUAAACAAGACUCAAGGACUCAAAACUAGGCUAAAAACUCUAAUAACUCGAAACACACUUAAAAUGACUCAAAAUAAUGAAAACAAUCAAAUUAGACACUAGGAAUUGAAAUGGACGGAAAUUGAAUUAAAAGACUAAAAACAAUGAAAACUAACUAAAUAAUAUAAUUUAAUAAUGGAUGGGUGUUUGGUUUUGAUGAAAAGUAAAUUAAACUUAAUUAAAUUACAGAAUUGAUAAAAACAUAAAAUUAAGGUAAAAUGAUAAAUGACGGACUAGCUAGAAGGUUCUUCUCCACACAUGACACAUAUGCAACCUAAAUUGAUUUUCAGUUGUUCUUUCAAUAAAUUGUGAAUCUCAAUACUCCAGAUUAACCGUGAACAACACUUUUUUAAUCUUCAAGUUUUCCUUAAAUUAUUGAAUUGGACAGAAAAACGCAUACAACAAUUCAAAACAUUCUUCAAAAGUCCCCUACGUGAAAAGCACAAUA